GGCUGGUCUAAUGGUAGUGGGUUAAAAGAAAUUAUCACUGUACGUUAAACUAACCUUUCUAUAUUCUACCCCACUGCUAACAUUGACUGGUCUUUU
Anser brachyrhynchus (Pink-footed goose) is the source of this 96-nucleotide unclassified non-coding RNA. It matches the Rfam family "Y RNA". From Rfam's summary of the family: Y RNAs are components of the Ro ribonucleoprotein particle (Ro RNP), in association with Ro60 and La proteins. The record is from Ensembl. NCBI's taxonomy places the organism in Eukaryota, Metazoa, Chordata, Aves, Anseriformes, Anatidae.